Molecule: ribosomal RNA, 374 nt
Filed under: Aphis citricidus (brown citrus aphid)
Lineage: Eukaryota; Metazoa; Arthropoda; Insecta; Hemiptera; Aphididae
Description: bacterial SSU rRNA
Rfam family: Bacterial small subunit ribosomal RNA
Source: RNAcentral
GCGGCAAACGGGUGAGUAAUAUCUGGGAAUCUGCCCAAAAGAGGGGGAUAACUACUAGAAAUGGUAGCUAAUACCGCAUAAAGUUGAAAAACCAAAGUGGGGGACCAUUAGGCCUCAUGCUUUUGGAUGAGCCCAGACGAGAUUAGCUUGUUGGUAAGGUAAAAGCUUACCAAGGCUACGAUCUCUAGCUGGUCUGAGAGGAUAACCAGCCACACUGGAACUGAGACACGGUCCAGACUCCUACGGGAGGCAGCAGUGGGGAAUAUUGCACAAUGGGCGAAAGCCUGAUGCAGCUAUGCCGCGUGUAUGAAGAAGGCCUUAGGGUUGUAAAGUACUUUCGUCAGGGAGGAAAAAAGUAAAACUAAUAAUUUUAU